RNAcentral lists this ribosomal RNA (216 nucleotides) under Glomeromycotina sp. RNAcentral's name for it is "partial small subunit ribosomal RNA". The stretch from base 44 to 216 matches the Rfam family "Eukaryotic small subunit ribosomal RNA", at positions 690 to 864 of the family's 1831-position model. The record is from RNAcentral. Lineage: Eukaryota; Fungi; Glomeromycota.
GGGUCAGUAGGUUGGUCGUGCCACCGGUACGUACUGGUCUCACUGAUUCCUCCUUCCUGAAGAACCGUAAUGCCAUUAAUUUGGCGUUGCGGGGAAACAGGACUGUUACUUUGAAAAAAUUAGAGUGUUUAAAGCAAGCUAACGCUUGAAUACAUUAGCAUGGAAUAAUGAAAUAGGACGAUCGAUCCUAUUUUGUUGGUCUCUAGGAUUGACGUA